This 692-nucleotide long non-coding RNA is filed under the name Numida meleagris (helmeted guineafowl). RNAcentral describes it as "lncRNA (ENSNMEG00000018483.1)". The record is from RNAcentral. Lineage: Eukaryota; Metazoa; Chordata; Aves; Galliformes; Numididae.
CUGACACAUAAAGGGAUGCGCCUGGAGCUCUGCCAGCGCUACUGUGUGGUGCAGCGCUUGGUGCUGGAGAGGAGCGAACCCACAGGAGCAUCUCGUGAACUUUGGGGUCUGCAAUGAACGGUUGAGGACCCCACAACGGAUCCUGCAGUGGCUGGUGCCAGGACCUCGGUGGACACUGGGUUAAGGCAAGCAAGAACCUGCGCUCCUUUGGAAGGCCAGCAUGCAAACAGCAAGACACAAAGCUGGGUUUGCAGAAGUCAGUGAAUAAAGGAAGACAAAUAAGUAAAUAAAUAAAUAAGUUGCGGUGAUUGUAAAUAGGAUGCCCACAGUGAUAGGAACCCUAGGCUGGAGUCGUCGUGCUGGAGAAAAUAAUUGUAUUUUGGUGUUCAAGGACUCUUGCUUCCGGUCAGUGGUUACCUGGCGUGACUUAGGUAGGAGUCUAACUUUUGCAAUUGUCAUUUCUUCAGACAUUUGACUGGAGAAACAGCAGCAAAGCUACUUGUCCCAGAGAGCAGCGCCUGGUAAGUACAGUCUCAGCAUUGGUGGGGUAUAAUAAUUAGGGAAAUCAAAUUAAGAAGACUUUUUGACCGCAAGGGAACACAGUGGAGAUGGAAAAUAAUGUAUGGAAGAUGAGGCAGGACAUACUGCAAAAUUGUUACUUCUGUCUUCAAACUGUGAAGUUGCACUUUGCG